CCUGACGCAGCGACGCCGCGUGAGUGAUGAAGGUCUUCGGAUUGUAAAACUCUGUCUUCAGGGACGAUAAUGACGGUACCUGAGGAGGAAGCCACGGCUAACUACGUGCCAGCAGCCGCGGUAAUACGUAGGUGGCAAGCGUUGUCCGGAUUUACUGGGCGUAAAGAGUAUGUAGGCGGAUAUUUAAGUCAGAUGUGAAAUUCCCGGGCUUAACCUGGGAGCUGCAUUUGAUACUGGAUGUCUAGAGUGUAGGAGAGGAAAGUGGAAUUCCUAGUGUAGCGGUGAAAUGCGUAGAGAUUAGGAAGAACACCAGUGGCGAAGGCGACUUUCUGGACUGUAACUGACGCUGAGAUACGAAAGCGUGGGGAGCAAACAGGAUUAGAUACCCUGGUAGUCCACGCCGUAAACGAUGGGUACUAGGUGUGGGAGGUAUCGACCCCUUCCGUGCCGGAGUUAACGCAAUAAGUACCCCGCCUGGGGAGUACGGUCGCAAGAUUGAAACUCAAAGGAAUUGACGG
RNAcentral lists this ribosomal RNA (518 nucleotides) under uncultured bacterium. RNAcentral's name for it is "bacterial SSU rRNA". It matches the Rfam family "Bacterial small subunit ribosomal RNA", at positions 382 to 916 of the family's 1533-position model. The record is from RNAcentral.